AGUACUUUCACUGACCUCCACACAGAUGCAAACAUGAUACUCUACAAUAUACCCUCUGUAUCAGGGAUUCAAAGCAGAUAAAAAAUAAGAACUUACAGAUAAAAAGUAAGAACAGCUAUAGAAAAGUUUCCUACAAAUACUAGAACUUGGGACAAUCAAAUGAAGCUGAAUAUAGGAAGAUUUGGGACAUACAAAGCUCUUCUUCACAGUGCAUAAACUAUGGAAUUUGCUCCCACAA
This is a non-coding RNA of Podarcis muralis (Common wall lizard), 238 nucleotides long. Lineage: Eukaryota; Metazoa; Chordata; Lepidosauria; Squamata; Lacertidae. The record is from RefSeq and is a predicted model, not a curated record.